UCCAUCAAGACAGCACCAUUCUGCUUUCUCUUCCUAAUGAAUGGAAGACCUGCUACAUAAAUUCACUUCUCCUCCCUAGAAAGAUAGGAUGAUCUUAUAGUGGAGUAUGUCAGAGACUUCCUAUAGGACCUCAGGAUCUGGGUCCCAGUGAGUUCAGACAUGUCUACACUACAGAGGUGUGGGGCGAGGAGGAGACAUUGCAGGAUCUCCGCUUCAAGCGCUGCAACGUGGACAUCUUCGAGCACAUGGCUGAGUCCCUGGCAGAGUGUGGACACCCACCCCAGACCUUGGAACAGGUCUGGAGUAAGGUAAAGGAGCUCCGUUAGGGAUACGUCAGGGCCAGAGAGUGCAGCUCGUGCUCAGGCAAGGACCCCACACCUGGCCCUAUUACCAGGAGUUCCACCAGAACCUGGGGGCUGGGGAAACAUCUUCCCCACCUAUCAUCGUGGACUGCAGCCUAGAGACCCCCAUCAUCACCCGGCCAGAGGUCAUGGCAGAGGAGGAGGAGGACCAGGGCCAUCAGGAGGACGAGGAAGAGAUGGACACGGUCAUCCUGUCCCUGGAGCCAGAGCGGGAGCUUCAGCUGGGCCAGUCGGUACUGAGGGGUGAGCCAUGUCACCCGUGCCAGCUGACACAGCCCGAGGGACCCAAAAGUGCGUCAAAGUGCAGUGGACCCUGGAGCAGAAGAUCCACGAGGACGCUGAGUGGCGGAAGUGUGCCUGGGACCAGCUCAUGCAGUGGUGCGAUAGCAUGUGUGCUGUCUUGAGAGAAAUGAUGGCACACCCACCUGCUGUUGCUCCUCCUGCCUACCAUCCUCCUGCCCCCCCCGCUAUGCCCAUUUCCCCUCCCACUGCCCCCCAUGCAAUGCCUCUGCUCCUUCCCCAAGCAGUGCCCAUGCCCUCUCCCCAAGUAAUUCCCAUGCCCUGUCCCCAUGUGAUGUCUAUGCCCCCUCCCCCCAUCCCCUGACAUCUCUGACACUGCUCCAGCCCUAACUCCUGCCCACCCCCCUGUGGUACUCGGACCCACCAAACCCCAACUCCAACGAGGUCCCCGCACUCAAGGUGGCACAUCUAGCCACCCCCUAGGCCACUCUGAUCCCUCUUCCCCAUCCAGGUUAUGAGCCCCCCCUCUGCCUGCCCACCUUUU
Pelodiscus sinensis (Chinese soft-shelled turtle) is the source of this 1146-nucleotide non-coding RNA. NCBI's taxonomy places the organism in Eukaryota, Metazoa, Chordata, Testudines, Trionychidae. The record is from RefSeq and is a predicted model, not a curated record.